UAAUGCCUGGGGAGUUCGUGUUUUCAUUUAAAUGGCGACCCGAACAAAUUUUCCAAGGGAGCUAUGGCAAUGAUGUGUUGAAUGCCUCCACGCCUUAUGGCCUGUAGAUGGAAUCCUAAUUCUAUGUCUUGUGCUUACCACCUAGUAGCAUGCGGUCUCGCAUGGUGAUAACGGCUCAUCCGGGUAUUUU
Molecule: non-coding RNA, 190 nt
Filed under: Bacilli bacterium
Lineage: Bacteria; Bacillati; Bacillota; Bacilli
Description: 6S RNA
Rfam family: 6S / SsrS RNA
About the family: E. coli 6S RNA was the first non coding RNA to be sequenced, but its function was unknown until recently.
Source: RNAcentral